This is a long non-coding RNA of Spinacia oleracea (spinach), 539 nucleotides long. RefSeq lists it as uncharacterized. The transcript is spliced from 3 exons. The record is from RefSeq and is a predicted model, not a curated record. Lineage: Eukaryota; Viridiplantae; Streptophyta; Magnoliopsida; Caryophyllales; Amaranthaceae.
UGAACACUGAGCUACUCAAGGGAAAAACUGAAAUGCUGGAGGAGUAUUUAUGCAUUUAUGUUGAUCCACAAGGGAAUUUGUCCAGGAUUCCUGUCAUACUUGAUCAGAUCGUGUUCCAGAAUUUGUUCUUUGUCCAGGCAAUGAUCUACCAAUCUGUUCAAGAUUCUUCUCAAGUAUAGGCCAAAGGAUAAAGCUGCAAAGGAGGAGCAUAUUCUGGAGAAGGCUCAUCUUGAUCGAGGCUGAAGGAAAGAGUCCAGAGUCCAGCAAUAAAUCCAUAGUUGGGAAAAAGGUGAAGCGGUUCACGAGAGACCUGCUGAAUUGAAACUGUAUGGUGGUGUUAAUAGUUUUGGAUAGUGCUCAAGAAUCCAUAGUCGACUGCAAGGCCUUACACCAGACUUUGAUGCUUUGAAUGUUGCAAUCAAGAUCGGAAUUAUCUAAACUCUGUAUUUUGAUUUAUCUUGUUAGAAACACAAUUACAGUUUAAUGCUCAGAAUUAUUAAGAAAAAGUAAUGGAGGCUAGUGUACCUAGUACCAACGUA